RNAcentral lists this ribosomal RNA (466 nucleotides) under uncultured bacterium. Its description in RNAcentral is "partial 16S ribosomal RNA". It matches the Rfam family "Bacterial small subunit ribosomal RNA", at positions 28 to 507 of the family's 1533-position model. The record is from RNAcentral.
GAUGAACGCUGGCGGCGUGCUUAACACAUGCAAGUCGAACGGAAAGGCUCCUGCUUGCAGGGGUACUCGAGUGGCGAACGGGUGAGUAACACGUGGGUGAUCUGCCCUGCACUUCGGGAUAAGCCUGGGAAACUGGGGCUAAUACCGGAUAGGACGAUGGUUUGGAUGCCAUUGUGGAAAGUUUUUCGGUGUGGGAUGAGCUCGCGGCCUAUCAGCUUGUUGGUGGGGUAAUGGCCUACCAAGGCGUCGACGGGUAGCCGGCCUGAGAGGGUGGACGGCGACAUUGGGACUGAGAUACGGCCCAGACUCCGACGGGAGGCAGAAGUGGGGAAUAUUGCACAAUGGGCGCAAGCCUGAUGCAGCGACGCCGCGGGGGGGAUGACGGCCUUCGGGUUGUAAACUCCUUUCGCUAGGGACGAAGCGUUUUGUGACGGUACCUGGAGAAGAAGCACCGGCUAACUACGUG